This 446-nucleotide ribosomal RNA is filed under the name uncultured bacterium. RNAcentral describes it as "partial 16S ribosomal RNA". It matches the Rfam family "Bacterial small subunit ribosomal RNA", at positions 331 to 792 of the family's 1533-position model. The record is from RNAcentral.
CCAGACUCCUACGGGAGGCAGCAGUGGGGGAUAUUGCACAAUGGGGGGAACCCUGAUGCAGCGACGCCGCGUGAGGGAAGACGGCCUUCGGGUUGUAAACCUCUGUCGCAGGGGACGAAGGAGAUGACGGUACCCUGUGAGGAAGCCACGGCUAACUACGUGCCAGCAGCCGCGGUAAUACGUAGGUGGCGAGCGUUGUCCGGAAUUACUGGGUGUAAAGGGAGCGUAGGCGGGAUGGCAAGUAGAAUGUUAAAUCCAUCGGCUCAACCGGUGGCUGCGUUCUAAACUGCCGUUCUUGAGUGAAGUAGAGGCAGGCGGAAUUCCUAGUGUAGCGGUGAAAUGCAUAGAUAUUAGGAGGAACACCAGUGGCGAAGGCGGCCUGCUGGGCUUUAACUGACGCUGAGGCUCGAAAGCGUGGGGAGCAAACAGGAUUAGAUACCCUGGUA